Molecule: ribosomal RNA, 398 nt
Filed under: uncultured bacterium
Lineage: Bacteria
Description: partial 16S ribosomal RNA
Rfam family: Bacterial small subunit ribosomal RNA
Source: RNAcentral
AUACGUAGGGUGCGAGCGUUGUCCGGAAUUACUGGGCGUAAAGAGCUCGUAGGUGGUUUGUCGCGUCGUCUGUGAAAUUCCGGGGCUUAACUCCGGGCGUGCAGGCGAUACGGGCAUAACUUGAGUACUGUAGGGGAGACUGGAAUUCCUGGUGUAGCGGUGAAAUGCGCAGAUAUCAGGAGGAACACCGGUGGCGAAGGCGGGUCUCUGGUCAGUAACUGACGCUGAGGAGCGAAAGCAUGGGUAGCGAACAGGAUUAGAUACCCUGGUAGUCCAUGCCGUAAACGGUGGGCGCUAGGUGUAGGGGUCUUCCACGACUUCUGUGCCGUAGCUAACGCAUUAAGCGCCCCGCCUGGGGAGUACGGCCGCAAGGCUAAAACUCAAAGGAAUUGACGGGG